This 301-nucleotide ribosomal RNA is filed under the name uncultured bacterium. Its description in RNAcentral is "partial 16S ribosomal RNA". It matches the Rfam family "Bacterial small subunit ribosomal RNA", at positions 509 to 807 of the family's 1533-position model. The record is from RNAcentral.
CAGCCGCCACGGUAAUACGGAGGGUGCAAGCGUUAAUCGGAAUUACUGGGCGUAAAGCGCACGCAGGCGGUCUGACAAGUCAGAUGUGAAAUCCCCGGGCUUAACCUGGGAACUGCAUUUGAAACUGUCAGGCUGGAGUCUUGUAGAGGGGGGUAGAAUUCCAGGUGUAGCGGUGAAAUGCGUAGAGAUCUGGAGGAAUACCGGUGGCGAAGGCGGCCCCCUGGACAAAGACUGACGCUCAGGUGCGAAAGCGUGGGGAGCAAACAGGAUUAGAUACCCGUGUAGUCCCUGUCUCUUAUAC